Molecule: ribosomal RNA, 253 nt
Filed under: uncultured bacterium
Lineage: Bacteria
Description: partial 16S ribosomal RNA
Rfam family: Bacterial small subunit ribosomal RNA
Source: RNAcentral
UACGUAGGGGGCAAGCGUUGUCCGGAAUCAUUGGGCGUAAAGAGCGUGUAGGCGGCCAUAUAAGUCCGCUGUGAAAUCUCGAGGCUCAACUUCGAGCUGUCGGUGGAAACUGUCUGGCUAGAGUCCGGAAGAGGAGAAUGGAAUUCCUGGUGUAGCGGUGAAAUGCGCAGAUAUCAGGAAGAACACCCGUGGCGAAGGCGGCUCUCUGGGACGGUACUGACGCUGAGACGCGAAAGCGUGGGGAGCGAACAGG